RNAcentral lists this long non-coding RNA (171 nucleotides) under Rhipicephalus microplus (southern cattle tick). RNAcentral describes it as "uncharacterized LOC119167209". Lineage: Eukaryota; Metazoa; Arthropoda; Arachnida; Ixodida; Ixodidae. The record is from RNAcentral.
UCCACGAUGUCUGCGAUGGUGACCACACAGUAUGCGGAGCAACAUGUGCCAGAACACAGCCAAAUGAGCGAGCAACGCAGUACAGGCUGUGAGUGGACGGCGGGAGAAACAAAGCUGUUGCUCGAGUACUACCAGCAGUAUUUUUCCCAAAUAGGGCCGAUGAAAAAAUUU